Molecule: ribosomal RNA, 433 nt
Filed under: uncultured bacterium
Lineage: Bacteria
Description: partial 16S ribosomal RNA
Rfam family: Bacterial small subunit ribosomal RNA
Source: RNAcentral
AACGAACGCUGGCGGCAUGCCUAACACAUGCAAGUCGAACGAGACCUUCGUGUCUAUUUUCGCACGGGUGCUUAACGCUUUUGAACCUUCCCUUAGUUUCGGAAUAACUCCCCUAAAUGUGUGCUAAUACCGGUUAAUGUCUUCGUACCAAAGAUUUAUCGCCUUUUGAUGGGCCCUCGUUGGAUUAGCUAUUUGUUAGGGUAAAAGCCUACCAAGGCGACGAUCCAUAGCUUGUCUGAGAGGAUGAUAAGCCACACUGGUAAUGAGACACGGCCCAGACUACUACGGGAGGAAGCAGUGGGGAAUAUUGGAAAAUGGGCGAAAGCAUGAUCAAGAAAUGACGCGUGAGUGAUGAAGGCCUUAGGGUUGUAAAGCUCUUUUAACCGGGAUGAUAAUGACAGUACCGGGAGAAUAAGCUCCGGCUAACGCCGUG